This is a long non-coding RNA of Magnolia sinica, 367 nucleotides long. RefSeq lists it as uncharacterized. The transcript has 2 exons. The record is from RefSeq and is a predicted model, not a curated record. Lineage: Eukaryota; Viridiplantae; Streptophyta; Magnoliopsida; Magnoliales; Magnoliaceae.
AUUAUUCAUAGCCUAUUUCCUGGUGGGGCUUACAAAAUUCAGUGUGGUGAGCACAUCGCCGACUGUGCACACACACCUAGGUCCUUACUCAUGCCUUCAUGGUAGAUUCAAAAUAGUUUCAAUACAAGGUCACGAGUUCAAGUACCUAUUGUGGCCGUAAGCAACUCUAGUUUGUGAGUGUGUGUUAAAAGAAAAAGAAAGAAAGAAAAUGCUAAUUUAUCUUUUAGGUUGAGCCUAAUGGUACUUGGUGAUUUCUCAUCAGGUAGAAAUUAUUAUUAGUGAGAUUAGGCCACUUAUAAUUAUAUUAACAUGAUAAAAUGUUGUACGUGAGCAGACACCACAAAAUAAACAAUCCUAUGAAAAAAAA